CUCAGGAGCUCUGAGCUACAGCAGGCUAUGCCGAACUUAGUGCGGACACCCGAUCGACAUAGCCUGCUGCAGCUCAGAGCUCCUGAGCUCAAACGAUCCUCCAACCUCAGCCUCCCGGUAGCUUGGAUUACAGGCACGCGCCACCGCACCCGGCGAGAAGCAGCUACGUUCACAGAAAGUUUUACUUUCAUUCAUGUGCGCUCAUCAGGUUAGUGCCCAUCAUCAACCAAGAUGAAAUGAUGUAAAAAAAAAACAAAAAAAAAACAAAAAAACAACAACAACUAAUCAUUUCAAAAUGAGGAAGUCAGCACAGUAAUAACAGGUUGUUGGUUUUUUGUUGUUUUUUUUGUUUUGUUUUUUACCAAGCAAAAACAUGACAUAGCCUUUUUAAUAAGCCGAAGGACAGCGUAUGUGUGUGUGUGUUUGUAUAUUAUUGUUUUGUGUGUACACUGUCAGAAAUACAAUAAAAAUAUUGAAGGAUUUUUACUCAGUGUUUACAAUUUUCGCAAGUGUCUGAUUGAAUUGAUGACAGCCUCUCAUAUUUUCAUGCCAUGACAUUGGAUGGGACCAAUCCUUAUUUUGGGAUAAUUGGAGUAAAUAACAAAGAUUGUUUCAACUUGCUGAAAGUUUUGACUUCACAAAAUCAGGUUUUUAGCACAUCAGUGUCAAUGUGAGCACAUUCAAAGAUGCACACAUUUAGUUGUGCAGCAGUAAUCAGCUUCCUGUAGUGAAUUUUAUUAGAAUUAUGUAGAAUUUUGUUACAGUGUACAUCAUUGGAAAAUCCAGUAAAGUUCAGGGAUGAACGGUGCACAACUGUCAUAAGCAAGUUCUGAGAAACCUCGUGGUUAAACCAAAUUUCAAGUGUAUGUGAUCACAAUAUCAAGAAGAGCAAAGCUUCAAUGUCAGAAGUGGGAUUCGAACCCACGCCUCCAGAGGAGACUGCGACCUGAACGCAGCGCCUUAGACCGCUCGGCCAUCCUGACGUAAACAAGGCAGCCUUGUGGAAGUUACAAACUGAGAUACUUGGGAAUACACAAACGUUAUAGUCCACAUAACACAUAUAGCAGCUGUUGAGCCAUGGAAACACAUACUGGUGGCGCCCACUUUCUGUGCUGACUUUGAAGUCAGCUGUGCAGUUAGUGAGUCAGGGGAGUGUUUGUGACUUUUACGCACAAGCGCACCUCAGCACUCAGACACCCCACUCUGUAACUUUGCGUGGUGUACAACUGAAUUUCAGACAGCUCUUUAGUACCACAUAGUGAUUGACAAGUGUUUGUAAAGGGAGCGGUCA
RNAcentral lists this long non-coding RNA (1291 nucleotides) under Oreochromis niloticus (Nile tilapia). RNAcentral's name for it is "lncRNA (ENSONIG00000034961.1)". The record is from RNAcentral. Lineage: Eukaryota; Metazoa; Chordata; Actinopteri; Cichliformes; Cichlidae.